Small nucleolar RNA from Fonsecaea pedrosoi CBS 271.37, 93 nucleotides. It matches the Rfam family "A. fumigatus snoRNA Afu_335". The record is from Rfam. NCBI's taxonomy places the organism in Eukaryota, Fungi, Ascomycota, Eurotiomycetes, Chaetothyriales, Herpotrichiellaceae.
AUUUGUGAUGAUUUCCUGAUAGGGACAGCUUAUGCUCUGCAUAUGAUUCGAACUGGGAAAGAGUAUUUUAGUAGAUGCCUCUCACUUCUGACA